UUUUCGACCGAGAACAAGGACGACGUGCUUCGGUUUUAGAUUUGUACUUGAGAAAACUGGUAUAAGAAGGUCCAAGAGUGGCCAUUUUUAAGUCGCUGCAACGGUUACUACUAGCGAUUUAACCUCCAGCACACGCCGUAAGAACCUCAUCAUGAAGUUCUCCUGCCUCGUCUUGGUUCUCGUCAUCGUCACUCUUGUCUCAGGCAACCCUGCCCCUGGCUUCUAUGGCACGGACAGAACUCCCCCUAGAUUUUCUUCAGGCGAGGGCCGUUCUGGAGCAGCACUGGCACAGGAGUUGCAAUCACGAGGCAUUUUUGACAUCAUCUGUACGAUUUUCGGAGUCUGUUUAGGUUAGCCUUAGAAAUGGUGAAGUCAAACAGCGUCACAGGACAGAUAAUGAAAUGGAAUCAAAGCCAUCCAUUCAAAACGGAAAUGAACUCAAUAAAGAACAGUUUCCGCUUGUCA
Ornithodoros turicata is the source of this 465-nucleotide long non-coding RNA. RefSeq lists it as uncharacterized. The record is from RefSeq and is a predicted model, not a curated record. Lineage: Eukaryota; Metazoa; Arthropoda; Arachnida; Ixodida; Argasidae. The transcript has 5 exons.